This is an RNA transcript of Medicago truncatula (barrel medic), 1685 nucleotides long. RefSeq lists it as uncharacterized. Lineage: Eukaryota; Viridiplantae; Streptophyta; Magnoliopsida; Fabales; Fabaceae. The record is from RefSeq and is a predicted model, not a curated record. The transcript has 5 exons.
UUAAAAUUUGUGCCGUACCCUACUACCCUCUCUCACUUCAAUUCAUUUUGUUGGAAAAUUUCUCUUUCUUCACCACCAUUCAUUCAGCCACCACCAUUCAUUCCUUCAACCCUAGCCGCCGUCUCCUGAUCCAUCUUCCAUUCAACCCUAGCCGCGCCGCCGUCUUAUGCUCCAUCUUCCGUUACACCCUAGCCGCGCCGCCGUCUCCUGCCCCAUCUUCCAUUCAACCCUAGCGCGCGCCGCCGUCACCUGCUCCAUCUCCGACGAUCUGUUUCACAAUGUUCCUUUUUCAACUAAGUCUUCUCAACCACUAAUAACAAUUACAUCUGUUCCCGUGGUAAUUCAACCAUUGUCUAGCCAACAAAAUGUUACGUCUCAGGCAUGAAUGUAAGUCGAAGUAUAUUACUAAAGUCAACGAGAAGCUUACCGAACUUCAAAGGUCUGAAAUUCAGAAAACACCUUUUAAAUGGUUAUUGAGUUUGCCUAAGAAAUUAAAAAUAUCCGAAAAUUUGCUUGAAGAAUUGGUGGAAAGAUGGGAUGAUAGGAGUGGGGGGUUUGCUAUACAAGGUCGGAUAAUACGGUUUACACCUUUAGAUGUAUGUUUUGCAUUAGGACUUCGUAUAAUAGGUGAAAAGAUGAACUUCAAAAAUGACCCUACAUCCACUACGAAAGCAAUGUUCGAUAAUGAAGUCAUCAAUGUAAAAACAAUUUAUGCUAAAAUUAUUAAUAUGGAACGAGACGAAGAUGUUGAGAAGUUUUGCCGACUUUAUUUACUUCUUGGUUUUGCCGAGUUCUACUUUCCAAAUUCAAGUGUUAAGGUUAGUGGUUGGUGCCUAAAAAUGUUAGACGACUUGAACUCCAUUGGGAGAUACAAUUGGGACUUGAACUCCAUUAGGUAUGGGCUCUAGAGCAUGUACUAGGAUACGAACGAAGUUAUCAUGAUUCUCCAUUGACGUUUCCAUGAUUUAUGAAGGCACGUGGUGUUAGUUUGGUUGGCAAAAAUAUAUCACACUUGCUUGAUAAUUAUUUGGUUAUUGAAGAGUUAAGUGCAACUAAAGAAGAGGUUGCAAAUGAAGUUGUGAGGGAGGCGUUAGAUCGAGCGCCAAGUGGAUAUAUUAAAUGGAGACCAGAUCCUAUUAUCAGUCAGUUAAUUGUUAACAAUCGCCUGUUGGGGGAAGCAAACAAAGGACUUUCCGCAAGGAUAUCUCUUCUUGAAUCGGAAACUAGAGAGAUGAAGAAGUUAUACGGUAGUGCACAAUCCAGUUAUGUGGACGAAGGUGUCUUCAAUGAUGAAGGUGUCCACGAGGACGUCUCCAUGGAUGAGAUUGAAAGAGUUAUUGAAAGGGAGGUGGCAAAUGUAUCAUAUGAUGUAGCACAUCAUGCAUCAAAUCUCUUAACUAUAAUUAAGGACAAGCCAAGAAACCGUGUAAAAAGUGGGGUUCUGCUUUACCCAUGGGUGAAGGAUGGACGCAUAAAGAAGAAGAUUUAAAUUAGUGUAGUGUUUUGAUAUGAUUGCAAUGUAGAUGUUUUUUUAUGCUAUUUUUUAUUUAGUAGGACAAUGUCGCACCUAUAAUAUUAAUGGAAACACCGUAUGUUGUUAGUUAUUAACAUUGUUGAACUAUCCUACAGUUUAAUGAGUCACUGUGCCUGUUAUGUAAUAAAUUUUAUUGGGAGGUUUGUUGUUA